Molecule: ribosomal RNA, 452 nt
Filed under: uncultured bacterium
Lineage: Bacteria
Description: bacterial SSU rRNA
Rfam family: Bacterial small subunit ribosomal RNA
Source: RNAcentral
AGUUUGAUCAUGGCUCAGGACACGCUGGCGGUGUGCUUCACACAUGCAAGUCGAACGAGGUAGCAAUACCUAGUGGCGGACGGGUGAGUAACGCGUGGGAAUCUGCCUUUAGAUGGGGGAUAACGGGUCGAAAGACUCGCUAAUACCGCAUAUGACGAAAGUUGAAAGGAGUAAUCCGUCUAAAGAUGAGCCCGCGUCCGAUUAGCUAGUUGGUAGAGUAAAAGCCUACCAAGGCGACGAUCGGUAGCUGGUCUGAGAGGAUGAUCAGCCACAAUGGGACUGAGACACGGCCCAUACUCCUACGGGAGGCAGCAGUGGGGAAUUUUACGCAAUGGGCGAAAGCCUGACGUAGCGACACCGCGUGAGCGAAGAAGCCCCUUGGGGUGUAAAGCUCUGUCAGCUGGAACGAAAAAAUGACGGUACCAGCAGAGGAAGCAUCGGCUAACUACGUG